Molecule: ribosomal RNA, 398 nt
Filed under: Enterococcus faecium
Lineage: Bacteria; Bacillati; Bacillota; Bacilli; Lactobacillales; Enterococcaceae
Description: bacterial SSU rRNA
Rfam family: Bacterial small subunit ribosomal RNA
Source: RNAcentral
CGCUUCUUUUUCCACCGGAGCUUGCUCCACCGGAAAAAGAGGAGUGGCGAACGGGUGAGUAACACGUGGGUAACCUGCCCAUCAGAAGGGGAUAACACUUGGAAACAGGUGCUAAUACCGUAUAACAAUCAAAACCGCAUGGUUUUGAUUUGAAAGGCGCUUUCGGGUGUCGCUGAUGGAUGGACCCGCGGUGCAUUAGCUAGUUGGUGAGGUAACGGCUCACCAAGGCCACGAUGCAUAGCCGACCUGAGAGGGUGAUCGGCCACAUUGGGACUGAGACACGGCCCAAACUCCUACGGGAGGCAGCAGUAGGGAAUCUUCGGCAAUGGACGAAAGUCUGACCGAGCAACGCCGCGUGAGUGAAGAAGGUUUUCGGAUCGUAAAACUCUGUUGUUAGA